GACGAACGCUGGCGGCGUGCCUAAUACAUGCAAGUAGAACGCUGAAGGAGGAGCUUGCUUCUCUGGAUGAGUUGCGAACGGGUGAGUAACGCGUAGGUAACCUGCCUGGUAGCGGGGGAUAACUAUUGGAAACGAUAGCUAAUACCGCAUAAUAGUAGAUGUUGCAUGACAUUUGCUUAAAAGGUGCAAUUGCAUCACUACCAGAUGGACCUGCGUUGUAUUAGCUAGUUGGUGAGGUAACGGCUCACCAAGGCAACGAUACAUAGCCGACCUGAGAGGGUGAUCGGCCACACUGGGACUGAGACACGGCCCAGACUCCUACGGGAGGCAGCAGUAGGGAAUCUUCGGCAAUGGACGGAAGUCUGACCGAGCAACGCCGCGUGAGUGAAGAAGGUUUUCGGAUCGUAAAGCUCUGUUGUAAGAGAAGAACAAGUGUGAGAGUGGAAAGUUCACACUGUGACGGUAUCUUACCAGAAAGGGACGGCUAACUACGUG
This 495-nucleotide ribosomal RNA is filed under the name uncultured bacterium. RNAcentral's name for it is "partial 16S ribosomal RNA". It matches the Rfam family "Bacterial small subunit ribosomal RNA", at positions 28 to 507 of the family's 1533-position model. The record is from RNAcentral.